RNAcentral lists this ribosomal RNA (565 nucleotides) under Alternaria sp. YLN10. Its description in RNAcentral is "eukaryotic LSU rRNA". The stretch from base 223 to 376 matches the Rfam family "5.8S ribosomal RNA". Lineage: Eukaryota; Fungi; Ascomycota; Dothideomycetes; Pleosporales; Pleosporaceae. The record is from RNAcentral.
UUGGAAGUAAAAAGUCGUAACAAGGUCUCCGUAGGUGAACCUGCGGAGGGAUCAUUACACAAAUAUGAAGGCGGGCUGGAACCUCUCGGGGUUACAGCCUUGCUGAAUUAUUCACCCUUGUCUUUUGCGUACUUCUUGUUUCCUUGGUGGGUUCGCCCACCACUAGGACAAACAUAAACCUUUUGUAAUUGCAAUCAGCGUCAGUAACAAAUUAAUAAUUACAACUUUCAACAACGGAUCUCUUGGUUCUGGCAUCGAUGAAGAACGCAGCGAAAUGCGAUAAGUAGUGUGAAUUGCAGAAUUCAGUGAAUCAUCGAAUCUUUGAACGCACAUUGCGCCCUUUGGUAUUCCAAAGGGCAUGCCUGUUCGAGCGUCAUUUGUACCCUCAAGCUUUGCUUGGUGUUGGGCGUCUUGUCUCUAGCUUUGCUGGAGACUCGCCUUAAAGUAAUUGGCAGCCGGCCUACUGGUUUCGGAGCGCAGCACAAGUCGCACUCUCUAUCAGCAAAGGUCUAGCAUCCAUUAAGCCUUUUUUCAACUUUGACCUCGAUCAGUAGGAUCCCCCGCC